CCCUUAGAUGUUCUGGGCCGCACGCGCGCUACACUGAUGCAUUCAACGAGCCUAUCCUUGACCGACAGGUCCGGGUAAUCUUUGAAUCUGCAUCGUGACGGGGAUAGAUUAUUGCAAUUAUUAAUCUUCAACGAGGAAUGCCAAGUAGGCGCAAGUCAUCAGCUUGCGUCGAUUACGUCCCUGCCCUUUGUACACACCGCCCGUCGCUCCUACCGAUUGGGUGUGCUGGUGAAAUGUUCGGAUCGGCCGUUUGUCGCGGUUUCCGCGUCAUGUGGCUGAGAAGUUCAUUAAACCCUCCCACCUAGAGGAAGGAGAAGUCGUAACA
This 325-nucleotide ribosomal RNA is filed under the name uncultured eukaryote. RNAcentral's name for it is "partial 18S ribosomal RNA". It matches the Rfam family "Eukaryotic small subunit ribosomal RNA", at positions 1470 to 1796 of the family's 1831-position model. The record is from RNAcentral.